Molecule: ribosomal RNA, 253 nt
Filed under: uncultured bacterium
Lineage: Bacteria
Description: partial 16S ribosomal RNA
Rfam family: Bacterial small subunit ribosomal RNA
Source: RNAcentral
UACAGGGGGGGCAAGCGUUGUUCGGAAUUACUGGGCGUAAAGGGCCAGUAGGCGGCCAACUAAGUCCGACGUGAAAUCCCCAGGCUUAACCUGGGAACUGCGUCGGAUACUGGAUGGCUUGAAUUCGGGAGAGGGAUGCAGAAUUCCAGGUGUAGCGGUGAAAUGCGUAGAUAUCGGAAGGAACACCAGUGGCGAAAGCGAGGUCCUGGGCUCUUACUGACGCUGAGACGCGAAAGCCAGGGGAGCGAACGGG